This 113-nucleotide microRNA precursor is filed under the name Picea abies (Norway spruce). RNAcentral's name for it is "miR391a stem-loop (pab-MIR391a)". Its record names the gene pab-MIR391a. Lineage: Eukaryota; Viridiplantae; Streptophyta; Pinopsida; Pinales; Pinaceae. The record is from miRBase by way of RNAcentral.
GUUUCCUACGCAGUUGAGAUGACACUGGGCUUAUAUAUCGUCUUCUUUCAUUUAGUUUAAGAUGAAUAAGUAGGAUAUGUAUGAGGGCAGUGUCAUCUCUCUGCGGAUGAAAC